UACGUAGGGUGCGAGCGUUGUCCGGAAUUACUGGGCGUAAAGAGCUCGUAGGUGGUUUGUCGCGUUGUUCGUGAAAACUCACAGCUUAACUGUGGGCGUGCGGGCGAUACGGGCAGACUGGAGUACUGCAGGGGAGACUGGAAUUCCUGGUGCAGCGGUGGAAUGCGCAGAUAUCAGGAGGAACACCGGUGGCGAAGGCGGGUCUCUGGGCAGUAACUGACGCUGAGGAGCGAAAGCGUGGGGAGCGAACAGG
This 253-nucleotide ribosomal RNA is filed under the name uncultured bacterium. Its description in RNAcentral is "partial 16S ribosomal RNA". It matches the Rfam family "Bacterial small subunit ribosomal RNA", at positions 524 to 776 of the family's 1533-position model. The record is from RNAcentral.